This 220-nucleotide ribosomal RNA is filed under the name uncultured bacterium. RNAcentral's name for it is "partial 16S ribosomal RNA". It matches the Rfam family "Bacterial small subunit ribosomal RNA", at positions 28 to 245 of the family's 1533-position model. The record is from RNAcentral.
GACGAACGCUGGCGGCGUGCUCAACACAUGCAAGUCGAGCGGUAAGGCCCUUUCGGGGUACGACGAGCGGCGAACGGGUGAGUAACACGUGGGUGACCUCGCCCUCCAGCUCUGGGAGUAAGCCUGGGAAACCGGGUACUAAUACUGGAUAUGACUCCAUGACGCAUGUUGUGGGGUGGAAAGCCUUGUGCGGCUGAGGAUGGGCCCGCGGCCUAUCAGC